ACCGGCGCACGGGUGAGUAACACGUAUCCAACCUGCCGAUAACUCGGGGAUAGCCUUUCGAAAGAAAGAUUAAUAUCCGAUAGGAUAUCAAGGUCGCAUGAUCUUGAUAUUAAAGAAUUUCGGUUAUCGAUGGGGAUGCGUUCCAUUAGUUAGUUGGCGGGGUAACGGCCCACCAAGACGACGAUGGAUAGGGGUUCUGAGAGGAAGGUCCCCCACAUUGGAACUGAGACACGGUCCAAACUCCUACGGGAGGCAGCAGUGAGGAAUAUUGGUCAAUGGACGAGAGUCUGAACCAGCCAAGUAGCGUGAAGGAUGACUGCCCUAUGGGUUGUAAACUUCUUUUAUAUGGGAAUAAAACAGGGUAUGCAUACCCUCUUGUAUGUACCAUAUGAAUAAGGAUCGGCUAACUCCGUGCCAGCAGCCGCGGUAAUACGGAGGAUCCGAGCGUUAUCCGGAUUUAUUGGGUUUAAAGGGAGCGUAGGUGGAUUGUUAAGUCAGUUGUGAAAGUUUGCGGCUCAACCGUAAAAUUGCAGUUGAAACUGGCAGUCUUGAGUACAGUAGAGGUGGGCGGAAUUCGUGGUGUAGCGGUGAAAUGCUUAGAUAUCACGAAGAACUCCGAUUGCGAAGGCAGCUCACUGGACUGCAACUGACACUGAUGCUCGAAAGUGUGGGUAUCAAACAGGAUUAGAUACCCUGGUAGUCCACACAGUAAACGAUGAAUACUC
This 725-nucleotide ribosomal RNA is filed under the name uncultured bacterium. RNAcentral describes it as "bacterial SSU rRNA". It matches the Rfam family "Bacterial small subunit ribosomal RNA", at positions 94 to 818 of the family's 1533-position model. The record is from RNAcentral.